This 361-nucleotide ribosomal RNA is filed under the name uncultured bacterium. Its description in RNAcentral is "bacterial SSU rRNA". It matches the Rfam family "Bacterial small subunit ribosomal RNA", at positions 28 to 417 of the family's 1533-position model. The record is from RNAcentral.
GAUUAACGUUGGCGGCGUGCCUAACACAUGCAAGUCGAGCGCCCUUUUAGGGAGCGGCGGACGGCUGAGUAACACGUUGGUAUCUGCCCCGGACUCGGGAAUAAGCGCGUGGAAACGGCGUCUAAUGCCCGAUAGUCUCUUCGGAGUAAAGAUUUUUCGGUCCGGGAGGAACCUGCGCCCGAUUAGCUUGUUGGUGAGGUAAUGGCUCACCAAGGCUAUGAUCGGUAGGUGGUCUGAGAGGAUGAUCACCCAGACUGGGACUGAGACACGGCCCAGACUCCUACGGGACGGCAGCAGUGAGGAAUCUUGCGCAAUGGGGGGAAACCCUGACGCAGCAACGCCGCGUGGAGGAAGACGGCCU